This is a long non-coding RNA of Lynx canadensis (Canada lynx), 5116 nucleotides long. RefSeq lists it as uncharacterized. The transcript has 2 exons. The record is from RefSeq and is a predicted model, not a curated record. NCBI's taxonomy places the organism in Eukaryota, Metazoa, Chordata, Mammalia, Carnivora, Felidae.
UGACAUCAUGACCUGAGCUGAAGUCUGACACUCAACCUACUGAGCCACCCAGGUGCUCCUCUUUUGCGCUUACAUUCUUAAACUUGAAUUUGUUCUGUUGGGUUGAAUCAUGGGCCAGUUUUAUAUGUUGAUUGUUGGAGAACAGUUUUUUGUUUUGCUGAUUUUUAUUAUAAUGAUUAGUUUUUUAAGGCCCACAUUUCUUUCUGCAAACUACAUGUAUGGGAGUGGCUAUAGAAAAAUCGUGUCCUCCUGCACUUAAUUAUGGGAAAGUUUACUUCAUUUUAGUGGUUCCUAAUUGGAAAAUAUGAAGUCAGCCUACUAUACCCUCAGCAUUUGAUUACCCCACAACAUGGAUGGCAUCUAGUCCAGUGAGCUCCUGGUGGUGUAGACAUCACUAGGCACGGUCGGUGUCCAAAGAUGGGUGUCUGAAUCCUGUGCAUUUCAAGCAGCCACUACCAGAGAUGGCACUGGAAAUGAAACCCAUUUGCAUCCCACUCUUACGAAGAGAAUUUGUGCUAUGAGCAGAAAGCAAGUCUUGACUGAUGUCAAGGAAGAGAAGGAAAGAAGGAAAUCUUUGUGUUUCACUCAGCACACACACAUUUUUGCCCCCUCUCUUACACUAAAAAAAUUCAGGUAGGUUUAGCAGCCUUUAAAUACCACUCAUAUAACCAGGAGAUCUUAUUUGUGAUCACAGAUUUAUAAACUGUUGUUAAAUACUUUAUGAUCAGAUGCCAUUUUUCACUGUAAUCUAAAGCACUAAAAACCUCUGCCCCUGAUAUAUGGUUAGUGGUCAGGUUCAAACAAAAGAGGCAGAAUCAAGUAAAAAAUGUGUAUUCCUUAAGUAGACCAUAUAGAAUUUCUUGAUUACCAAGACACCUAAAGCUUUAUUUAGUUUUCGUACUUGAAGAGUUUUAAAAGCUCAUACGUAAAAGGCAUGCGGAGUACUGGUUAAAUACAUCCCAAGGCCUCUCUAGCCCUACUGAAUUAGAAUUUGAGUUAGUCAACAUUUUCAAUAAAAAUCCCCAGCUGGUUGUGAUAAAAAGGGUGUUUAGAUAACACUUUAAACAUAAUGCUAGGAAAAGAUACUCAACAUCAUUAGUCAUUAGGGAAAUGCAAAUCAAAACCAAGAGAUGCUACCUCACACCAUGGGGAUGGCUAUUCCCAAGGUGGAAAAGUGGUGGCCAGGAGUGGAGAGACUGGGAUCUGUGUGUAUUGCUGGCAGGAACGGCAGAUGGUGCAGCUACGGAGGAGAACAGUUUGGUGGCUCCUCACAGUUAAGCAUGGACUCCUCCUAAGAACAGCAAGUCUACUACUGGGCAUAUACCCCAAAGAACUGGCCAGCAGGGGACAUGGCUAGUCGUACACUCAUUAUUAGCAGAACUCUUCACAACAGCCAAGAGGUGGAAACAACCCAAAGUUUCAACAGAUGAAUGGGUAAGAUGGGGCUCGUGCACACAGUGUCAUGUUAUUUGAAGAAAUGAAACUCUGAUGCAUGUGGUCAGCAUGGAUGAACCCUGACAACCCACUAAGUGAAGUAGGUCACAUAUGAAAGGUUACAUAAUUGGCAAAUUCAUGGAGAAAAGGGGGUGGCUGGACGACGGGAGUCAUGGUUCAGAGGGUAGAGUUUAGGAUCACGAAAAAAGCUCUGGAUAGUGCUCGCUUCGGCAGCACAUAUACUGAAAAAGCUCUGGAUAUAGAUAGUGGUGAUGGUUACACACCAUUGUGAAUAUAAUUUCCCUGAAUUACACACUUAAAACUGGCUAAAAUGGUAUAUUCAUUUGUCACAAUAAAAAGUGAAUGAAAUGAGAAACCAAAACCAAUCCCAAAGAAACAAAGGUCAUACUGUUGAAUAAUGUCCUACACACCUAGGUUUUUGCCAUUGGCUCUUUAGAAAGGGGUGCGUGCUGAAGCAGGGGGGCGCCGGGGAUGCCCUACUGCUGCUCAGGUGCGUACAAAAAGCUGCGUGUUCAGGACUCUUAAGGAAGAACAUGGGUUAAGUCCCACUUUGUGUUCUUUUGCUACUUCUGGGUGUAAUGAGUCAGAGCGAUCUGGGUAUGGAUCAGCUCCCUCUGGUUGCUGACAAUGAACAUUGUAUUUUCCUCCCCCGUAAAGAUGGCUGAGAAGUGUGAAGUCCUAACAGUGAGAGGAUAGUCCGUGAAAUGUUUUUAAAUGCCCUGAUGCUUGCACCAGCCAUAAAGAACCCUAGAUCUGGAUGUGGGAUUCCAGAACACAUUACUGGCAGGUAUUUAGGUAAGGAAAAGCUAAGUAAUUGGAAGAGCCCGACUUCCUUCUCCAGAGCCCGGAUUAAGUCACAGGAGAAGGGACCAUGGAAAGUACUGGAUCUGGGAACUGGCACAGCAGACCGGGAACAGACGGGAAGUGACAAGAGUCAGGAUACCAAGUUUGGGGACCCUCCCAGGGUGGAUGGCUGCCUCUCUCUGGAAACCGGACUUCUUUUUAACAUGAUGUGUACUAACAUGAGCCACCAGCCCGGUGUAAAUGAUCACUUUCUGACUGCCCCUUCCUUCAGCAUUAGUGGCACCAGUACCAGGGUGUGUAGACCUCACCACAGCUUCACCUCAUUGAAUAGUUUCCACAAAGACUAAUGGUGACAUUUUCAUCUUUGCCCAGUACCCCUUCUAUGUUGUUUUUGGGAUUUGAUAAUGUCUCCCAGUGACUCUGCUAAGGUCUAUACCAAUGGUUCCUGAUGUUGACUGUGCAUCAGAAUCCCCUGCAGGGCUUCCCAAAGCAGAUUUCUGGGCCUUCACCACCCAGAGUUUGAUUCAGGUCUGCUGGUGGGCCUUAAGAAUUUACAUUGCUAUCAAGUUCUCAGUACAGAUGCUCCCGUUCAGGCAUCACACUGAGAACUGAUGCUCUGUACCUCUCCAAGGCCAGUAAUGAUUCCACUGAAGACAAGAAUUCAAUUUUUAUCAAUCCGUUUAUUCAAUUAACAUUUCUAUAAUCAACACCAGCCAUUUGAGUGAGGUUACUGUCGUGAUCAUGUUCAAAGAUUAGGGACACUUAGCCUACCUCUACUGGUAUGAACAAAAACCUUUUCUGUGCCCUUUGACACUUCAUAACUUGCAAUUCUGAAAAGUCGGGAUUUCGGCCUACAGUUUGCUAUUUAAGAGACCAGGUCUGGUCUUGACAAUAAAGCCACCAUCAAAAGCUGCAUUAAGAACUUCAUCCAGGCAGCUUGCUGUAACAAAACUUAAAUCCUGUCGUACAUUGCCCGGGAUUUCUUCAAGGUCUUUUUCGUUCCUCUGAGGAAUAAUGACUUGCUUCAAUCCUGCUCUGUGUGCCGCCAGCACUUUGUCUUUAAUCCCACCCACCUAGGAGGAGAGAAGAAAGUUACUCAGAUUUCUGGACAUCCUCCGGCUGUGAAAAGAUCCCUGACCCAACUUUUUUUCACAGCUAUUUUAAAACGUCUAAAUCAUCUUCCAUUUUGUUACAGCAUGAGCUAGGAAAGCCAUUAAAAAGGUUAAUAAACAGUAAAUUGUUUUACAUUUCGUGUUCAGUCCUUUUAAUGGGGGAAAAUUCUAAAUUUUCAGUAAUGAGCACCUUUUGUGUCCAUGAUCCCUUUUUGCACUGUCAAGGUUAAUAUUUAUAUUCCAUUCUGUAAUCAAAAUCUUAUCUAUAGGUUCAUUCUGAAAAAGCAUUACAUUAUCUUGACCACAAAUACCAUUCCUAUAGAGCUUAGUUGAGUGCCAGGAUCUCUCCUUCUGUACAGGUUUAAAGCCAUAACCUUUGUGCCACUUGAUGAAGAAAAUCUAUCCCAAAUGAUCUAGGCACUUAGGUGGUUUUAAAGUAUGUCCACAAUGGUCCCUUCAUAAAAGGAGGAGUCUAAUUCCCCUCCCCCUGAAUGUAGGUCAGGCUGAGUGACUCAUAAAUGGAAUGUGGGGGAAGUGAUGCUGUAUGACUUUCAAAGUUAACCCAUAGAAAAUGAGAGUUGCUGCUGCUGCUAGAUCUGUCUCUCUUGGAUCUCUUGCCCUGGAGGUAGCCAGCUGCCAUGUUUGAGAUCACCCAAUAGCCCCCAGAGAAGCCCUAAGGUGAGGAACUGGGGCUUCCUGCCAACCAGGACCAAUCUGCUAGUCAUGUGAGUGAACCAUGUUGGAAGCAGCAGAUCCCCAGCCCCAGUCAACCUUAAGAUGACUGUGACUGGGUUGCUGUCUUGACUGUAUGAUGGGAUCCGGAAGCAGAAGAGCUCAGCUAAGCCUCUCCUGAAUUCCUGACCCACAGAAACUGUAAGAAUAACAAACACCAUUGUUUUGGGUGGUGUGUUAUACAGCAAUAGACUCCAAAUGCAACUCUCAGUCAUACCACCCAGAACACAUAAGCCCUGGAGACAGCUCUCAGAGCCCUCCAACCACCUGCACUGACACUGGUUGCUCCAGGCCCUCCUGCACAGCUGUCCUCCUCUUUCUAGGCUCUUCGGUAUGCUGCUGACGUACACCUUCCAGGUAAGUACCUUCUUCACAAAGAAUCUAAGACAAACAGACUCCUUGCAUGUAUGAAAAUAACCAUUUUACUUUCACGUUUUAUUGAAGGUGUAUACGAGACUGGACUUCAAGUCAUUUUCCAUCAGAAUUUUGAAGGGACCGUACAUCUGGUGUCACUGAGGAGAAUGAGAGAACUUUCUCCUUGGUUACCUGAAAGGCUUUGGGGACGACCUCUUUCUCCCAGCUGGUGUAGACCCUUUCAAUCUGAAGAUAACCUUCAAUUCUAGGAAACGUUCAAUUCCAUUUUCUGUCUACUAGAAUGCCUGAUAGCUCAAUGUUGGAUCUGCCUGCUUUUUCUAUUAUUUUUUUCUGAACAGUUCUUUGACUAAUUCUAAAACAGUUUUAAAUCCAACUUCUGUCUUAUUCUCUGUUCUUGAAUGGUCUUUGCCAGCGUUAGCAAGUCUUUCUCUUAAAUGCUGCUGCUUUUCUUCUGUCUCAUGGGACAGGUUUAAAACUGGAGGCUUACUCAAACUUUCCCCGUGGGGCUGGGAAAGCCUGGACCUGGUUGAGUGCAAGUGGAAGAACCACUUAUUCUAUGGAGAUUUCUAUGAAUCCCCUCAUUUUGUUUCCCAUUUCUUUCCUGCUCUCCUGGUCUGUGCUUUCUGGUUAUGAGCCCU